Molecule: long non-coding RNA, 1686 nt
Organism: Sapajus apella (tufted capuchin)
Lineage: Eukaryota; Metazoa; Chordata; Mammalia; Primates; Cebidae
Exons: 2
Source: RefSeq, a predicted model, not a curated record
UCAGGUGAUCUGCCCACCUCGGCCUCCCAAAAUGCUGAGAUUAUAGGUGUGAGCUACCAUGCCCCUCCCUCCUAUUCAUUGUGGAAUCUAUUUCAGCCAAGCUUUUGCCCCUAUCCCUCCACUGAAACUCCUCUUGGCAAAGUCACCAGUGACCUCACAAUUGCUGAAUCAGUGGUUACAUUUCCAUUAUAUCAGUUGAACUAUCAGCAUUAGAACACAGUUGCUUACAGCUGCCAUCUUGAAGCAUUCACUUUCUUCCCUUGGCCUUCAGGUGGCCCCUGUCUCUUGGUUUGUCUACCUCACUGGCAGCUCCAUUAGCUCAUCCUCCACUUCUGCAGCCACUAGCAUGCCCAAAGUUUGGUUCUUGGACUUCUCUGUCUUUUCAUUCCCUUAGCAGUUUUAUUUCAAGACAUGGUUUUUAGUAUUCAGGCUGGGGCCAUUCCUUCUCCUCCCAGCCUCCCAUGUCCUGCCACUUCUUAUGUCCUAACAGGUUCAUGACACUACAAGGAAAGUAGGAGCCCUUGUCCUUUUCCAGCCCACAGUGGGGUCCCAGCUGCAAAAAAAGUCUUAUGUUUCUUCCCUUUUCAAACCCCCAAGUUACUUAUGCUUUGGGGUAUCUUUAAGCCUCCUUUAGUUACCCAAAAGCAGAGGAAUUCAUCUUGCUUUUUUCUUUUCAGGUAUCCAGGCACCAAGGCCCUAAUCACAACAAAAGUUGGAUGGGGUCAUCUUUUGACUUUUUCUUGGAAAUUCAGAAAGUCUAGUUUUGCUUCAGGGAAGAUAGAAAUGUUCUUUCUUUCCUCUUUGAGUCUCCAGCACAAAAAUUUUACACCAGUAAAUUUCUACAUCAGUCUGCUUGUUACAGAUUGAAUGCAUGAACGAAUGACUGCAAGUGACAUGCACUUUGGUGCCCCAUGUACCAUUGAUUAGGUGAAUGACCUUGGGUAGCACCUUAGUUUUCUAGAACUUAAAUUUUUUGAGACUUCCUGAAAUUGGUGAUUUGUAUUACAUUUCUUAGUUUCCUCUCCUGGGUUUAAAAUAAUAUGCUUUAUCUACUGCAAAAGCUCCAGAGAGAAACUAAAAACUUGACUUGAAUCAACUGGCCAAACUCUGGAUAGCUGACAGUAAGCUGAAACUGGAAAAGGACUGGUUUGGAGCAAGGGGUCUGACUGAGGGGAGCAGUUCUAUGGAAGAGGAGGAGGAGGAACCCCACUAAGCACAUUCCUUGAUCAGAAGGGAAAGGAUACCCACUAUACCAGAUAAACAUUUUUCCUUUAUGCAUCUGAAUUUUUUUGCCUAUUAUUUUAUCAUUUAGAAUUUCUUUUCCAAUUUUAUUUCAGAAAAUGUCAUUGCUACACCUAUAUUUCUACAGGUCAUAUCUAGAAAUAUACCUAAGCCACAACAAAGCACCCACAGCCCCACACUGCCCUCACAUCCCGUGCCUAUAAAAACCCCAGCCUCAGUCGGCAGAGAGAGGAGAAGCAGCUGAACGUCAGGGACUACAGCUGAACACCAGAGAGAAGUGGGCAGAUUUCAGAAGGACAACUUGACGGCAUAACUCUGGAAAAGAAUCUGGCUAGAGACUGCCAGACUUCAGGGGAAGAUUACCUACCCACCUCGUCCCCUUUUCAGCUCCCCCUCUUGCUGACAGUCACUUUUAUUGGCAAUAAAAUCCAUACAUUUACCAUC